GGAUGUGAGGGCAAUCUGGCUGUGACAUCUGUCACCCCACUGAUGACCAAGAUUGAUUUGGCUGAUCUGGCUGACUAGGCGGAUGUCCUCUUCCUCCCUCAGUACUCCAUGUGUGUACCUCCUGAAGCGGACCAGUCUUCAGUCAAGGAUAUACGAGUAUACAUGUCUCCCCAGCUAGAACUUCCAAACAAGCUCUCAAGAAGGAGUGAUUUAGACUCAUCAACUUACAAAAUACUUUGCUGUACAAGUUGGGCAAGCUGAGUGAGAUCAUCUAUAAACUAUUAUUAAUUAUUGUUA
Unclassified non-coding RNA from Rhinopithecus bieti (black snub-nosed monkey), 297 nucleotides. Its record names the gene 7SK. It matches the Rfam family "7SK RNA". Rfam says of the family: 7SK was discovered as an abundant small nuclear RNA in the mid-70s but a possible function has only recently been suggested. Two independent studies have found that 7SK RNA binds the CDK9/cyclin T complex (known as elongation factor P-TEFb). The record is from Ensembl. NCBI's taxonomy places the organism in Eukaryota, Metazoa, Chordata, Mammalia, Primates, Cercopithecidae.